AUUUUUCCAAACCUCCCACACACUGCGUUUAAAUGGGAUUAAAAUAAAACAAUUUCAGUAUUUCAUAGAAAAAUUUAAAAACCAAAAACCAUAAUUUUGAAAUGAUGGAAAAAUGAAAAUGAUUAAAAAGGUAAAUAGCCCAUUAAUAAAACCCCAUUCCAACUUCAGCAACAGCAGCCGCAAGAGCUGCUUCUUUCUCUUCUGCUUCUCACCGAAAUCCUCCCCUUUUCAACUCCGAUUCGGACGCAACGCAGCAAGGGCGUCAAUGGCACGCCACCACUGGUACGAGCGUGUGCACACAAGCUAUUGAACGUGGGCGAAGCCACUGCAACGUGGGGGAAAUGGAACGAUUGCUGCGGCGUUGAAGAAACUGCUACUAGGGUUCAGUUUUUUUUUUUCUGCUGAAACUGUUCCAUAGCUUGGGCUGUAAUUUGGACUAACAGAUGGGCUUGUAACUUGAGUCCGGGCCUUUUUUCUGCUGAAACUGUUCCAUAGCUUGGGCUGUAAUUUGGACUAACAGAUGGGCUUGUAACUUGAGUUUGGGCCUUAGGCUUAGUUGGGCCCGGGCAAUAAUUGGGUAUUACAAUACCUAUGGAUGAAAGUCAGGAGGAUAAUAAAAUAGUGCGACAAGAUCUGAACGAAAGCACAUUGGAUUUGAGCUUCGGUUAAACGGUUCGUGACUGUGAGUCUGAUUCGAAAACAAAUCGCAACGGACAGUUGGAAAGAGUAAAAUUGAGUAGUGGUCGAACAUGAUUGAGUAUAGCUUUGCAGGCUGUUUCAGCAAAUAGAUGCAGAUGGUAAGUAGACAUUAUUAUUAGUCUCCUCAUUUAUGGCAUAUUCCAUCAUCUAGGGUUUUAUAAACGGCGGGAUCGGCCACUCUCUUUCCCUCUUUUGUCAUCGGUUUAAUCCUUCCGAUAUUUGCGUGUAUUACAUUCGCAUGUGAAAAAUCAAGUGCUUAAUUACUAUUUUCUUCGUUUAACCGGUGAUAGAUUGAAUUUAAUGCUACAUGUACCAAGAUAAGGGGGUUGAUUCAAAUCAGUAUCCUUAAUCUUGAUUUUGCCAUAGCGGCUGUAGCUAUAAUAGAGAAGUUAACUGGCCGGUUAUCGUGCUUAAUUUGAAAAUUUCAAGCUUCCGUCGGUUAAUCUGCUUACCGAGCUUCGUACAUUUCAUUUCAUGUUAUUGGUUUUUUUUUUUUGGUAAAUUUUGAGAAGGGGGGAGAAGAAGGGAAUAGCAUAGGAUUUAGCUAUUUCAAGAGACCCUUCUCUAACAUCAAAAAUUAGGUCACCUUCCAGGCUUUCUGCUUUGCUUCUCUGCAGUUUGCGUCUAUCGGUGCCUACAUUCAUUCCAUUUCUAAGAACAAAAAAUUGUAUUUUACUUUCGAUUUUAGUAUUUGCAAGUCUUCAAUCCAUUUCCAGUCCCAGCUAUCUGUUCGUUUAA
This is a long non-coding RNA of Gossypium raimondii (Peruvian cotton), 1437 nucleotides long. RefSeq lists it as uncharacterized. NCBI's taxonomy places the organism in Eukaryota, Viridiplantae, Streptophyta, Magnoliopsida, Malvales, Malvaceae. The record is from RefSeq and is a predicted model, not a curated record. The transcript is spliced from 3 exons.